AAAGUUAGAUUUUAGCCAAUACUAAUUUCCUUUUGUUUGUGAUGACAAUGUAAAUCAAUAAAUUUCUCCUGAAAUUUUUAGUAGUAUGUGUAAAAAAUGUCAUUUUAUUGUAUUUUUCCUAAACAAAUGCCACAAAGAAAAACACUUUACUUUCCUCUAUCUAAUGUUUGUGCAGUACGUGUGACUGAAAUGGUUAUCCAUUGUAGAUUUUGUGUCAUGCUAUCUAACGCAACCCUCGCAAUUGCAUUGACCAGGUACGACAUUAACAUUAAGCUGAUUUGUGUCAUUCUAUUAUUUUGGUGUCUAUUUUGCAUUGUUAUGAGAAAUCAUAGAACUUAAGUACUUGCCCCCCCCCC
RNAcentral lists this long non-coding RNA (356 nucleotides) under Setaria viridis. RNAcentral describes it as "long non-coding RNA (SVIR_LNC010229)". The record is from RNAcentral. Lineage: Eukaryota; Viridiplantae; Streptophyta; Magnoliopsida; Poales; Poaceae.